Molecule: ribosomal RNA, 420 nt
Filed under: Triticum aestivum (bread wheat)
Lineage: Eukaryota; Viridiplantae; Streptophyta; Magnoliopsida; Poales; Poaceae
Description: partial small subunit ribosomal RNA
Source: RNAcentral
AUGCCGCCAAACAACAUAAGAGAACUCAUUGAUGAACUCAGAAUGCUCCUUCAAAACAAAAGGUACCUUAUUGUUAUUGACGACAUAUGGAAUCUACAAUCAUGGAGAGAAAUCAAACUUGCUUUGAUUGAGAAUAGUUGUGCCAGCAGGAUAAUCGCAACGACUCGUGACCUUGACAUUUCUACAGAUGUCGGUGGUUCUUUUAAGAUAAACCCCCUUAACCUCAAGAGAUCUAAAACAUUAUUCUGUCAGAGGAUCUUUGGCUCCAAGGAUAAAUUGCCUCAACAUUUGUCUGAAGUAUCCAUGAAGAUAUUGAAGAAAUGUGGUGGCAUACUGAAAGGGCAUGCGGUGCCCCCAUGUGUGGUUUUGGUAAUUGAUGACAUUCUCUAUGUACUAAUGGUUGCAUUGAGUUAUAUUUGA